Molecule: long non-coding RNA, 1168 nt
Organism: Pseudophryne corroboree (corroboree frog)
Lineage: Eukaryota; Metazoa; Chordata; Amphibia; Anura; Myobatrachidae
Exons: 3
Source: RefSeq, a predicted model, not a curated record
UGACAGAUUUAUUCAUGAAUAUGAAACUAAGUUGUAUGAGUUAUACACUCACUUAUAUAAUUUUUAUAGUUAAUAGAUCUUCCCCUUACUAAGUGAAAGGAGUAUUUGUUUCUCCAUGGGGUGGGAACUCUUUGUACCAUACUGGUACUUUAAUAGAUGGUCUAAUUGAUAUCAACCCAAUUAAUUUACCAGGUCUACCACGUGUUCUAAAUUGGUUAGACAUUAUACCCAUUUGAAUUGCCUUCACUCCUGAGUCUCUGAGUGUCAGGUUCAAGCUGCUGACCGACGAGGUAUGUGCUAUAUUAUAGAGAUUUCUUUAAUGAUUGGCACUAAUGAACUACACCCCCUGUGGGUAGCACUUUGAGUAAUUUCUUUGAAUUAUUCGAUCAUAGAUCAGUGAUACCGUCCAUAAAGGAUGGGUUUCCCUAAUAAACAUAUCAUGUGGGUUCACUAUACUGAUGGUUAAUACAAUUAGUCCUGGGUUUUCCAAAUAUGAAUAAAUGGCUGGUUAUAAUCAGAUCAUUUAGUAGAGGAUCGUUGUAUAGUGGUAACAUUGGUGUUUGUUAUAGCCAAUUCUGUGGCUUUGUUCUGUAUCAUAUAUAGAAACCACACGGGUUAGUCAUGAGAUCUGUUCAUUAGUGAUCAGACAUUAAUGAUACCAGAAUUUUUAUAAUUAUGGGUGUCAAAAUAAGAUAGGGGUCUAUUUAUGAACUCGUAGGUGUUCUUAUAAUUAAUACCCAAUUAAUCAAUUUAUUAGGUUCCUUAUGCUUGUGAACCAGUUAGAUUCUAUACACAUAUGAAUCUUCCCCAUAUUCGAAUAUCUGAAUGUCAGACUCAAGCUGAUGAUAUAUGAGGUAUGGUCCUCGCUGUAUCAAUCAAGUCCCAUUGAAAUAUUGAAACGUUGUUCAUACAUCUUUGAAUGACCUUUUAUGUGCUGACAAUAUGUUCUGAAAUGAAGAGAUUUUACCCCUGAUGAAGUCUUGGAACAAGACGAAACGCGUUGGGUUAUUUAUCUAUCUAUUAUCUGAUGUUACCUCCGAAUCUACAAUAAGGAGAAGGAGGAAAUCGUAGUGAUAUAUCUACGCUUUUUCCUCAUCACUACAAACUGAUUGUUCAAAUUGUGCGACAAAUGUAAAUGUAUCAACUCUGUAUACUUAUGAACAUUUGU